RNAcentral lists this ribosomal RNA (253 nucleotides) under uncultured bacterium. RNAcentral describes it as "partial 16S ribosomal RNA". It matches the Rfam family "Bacterial small subunit ribosomal RNA", at positions 524 to 776 of the family's 1533-position model. The record is from RNAcentral.
UACGAAGGGGGCGAGCGUUGUUCGGAUUUACUGGGCGUAAAGGGCGCGCAGGCGGCCGCAUUUGUCAGGCGUGAAAGCCCCGGGCUUAACUCGGAAAGGUCAACUGAUACUGUGCGACUAGAGUGCAGAAGGGGCAACUGGAAUUCUCGGUGUAGCGGUGAAAUGCGUAGAUAUCGAGAGGAACACCUGCGGCGAAGGCGGGUUGCUGGGCUGACACUGACGCUGAGGCGCGAAAGCCAGGGGAGCGAACGGG